RNAcentral lists this ribosomal RNA (257 nucleotides) under uncultured bacterium. Its description in RNAcentral is "partial 16S ribosomal RNA". It matches the Rfam family "Bacterial small subunit ribosomal RNA", at positions 524 to 776 of the family's 1533-position model. The record is from RNAcentral.
UACGUAGACCACAAGUGUUAUCCGGAUUUAUUUGGGCGUAAAGCGUGUGUAGGGGGUCCGGUGCGUCCUUGGUUAAAGCCCACCGCCUAACGGUGGAAGUGCCACGGAUACGACCGGACUGGAGGGAGUUAGAGGUGCAUGGAACACAUGGUGUAGGGGUGAAAUCCGUUGAUAUCAUGUGGAACACCAAAGGCGAAGGCGAGUGCACUGGGACUUUCCUGACCCUGAGACACGAAAGCGUGGGGGGAGCAAAAAGG